GUCCAGUCGAAGAGUCCCGGAUAGGACGAAAUGCGCAUCUUGGAU
Molecule: non-coding RNA, 45 nt
Filed under: Trichobilharzia regenti
Lineage: Eukaryota; Metazoa; Platyhelminthes; Trematoda; Strigeidida; Schistosomatidae
Source: RNAcentral